RNAcentral lists this ribosomal RNA (498 nucleotides) under uncultured bacterium. RNAcentral's name for it is "partial 16S ribosomal RNA". It matches the Rfam family "Bacterial small subunit ribosomal RNA", at positions 29 to 507 of the family's 1533-position model. The record is from RNAcentral.
AUGAACGCUGGCGGCGUGCCUAAUACAUGCAAGUCGAGCGAACAGACGAGAGUGCUUGCACUCUCUGACGUUAGCGGCGGACGGGUGAGUAACACGUGGGUAACCUACCUAUAAGACUGGGAUAACUUCGGGAAACCGGAGCUAAUACCGGAUAAUAUUUAGCUUCGCAUGAAGCAAUAGUGAAAGACGGUUCUGCUGUCACUUAUAGAUGGACCCGCGGUGUAUUAGCUAGUUGGUGUGGUAACGGCUCACCAAGGCAACGAUACAUAGCCGACCUGAGAGGGUGAUCGGCCACACUGGGACUGAGACACGGCCCAGACUCCUACGGGAGGCAGCAGUAGGGAAUCUUCCGCAAUGGACGAAAGUCUGACGGAGCAAUGCCGCGUGAGUGAAGAAGGUUUUCGGAUCGUAAAACUCUGUUGUAAGGGAAGAACAAGUACGUUAGUAACUGAACGUACCUUGACGGUACCUUACCAGAAAGCCACGGCUAACUACGUG